This is a non-coding RNA of Mesocricetus auratus (golden hamster), 100 nucleotides long. The record is from Rfam. Lineage: Eukaryota; Metazoa; Chordata; Mammalia; Rodentia; Cricetidae.
UGGGCCACCACGUGCUCUCAGCUGGCCUGUAUAGCAAACCUCUCCUUGCCUUCCCAGCUGGCCGUCCCGAGUGUGGGCGCCUUCAGGCAAGGCCCUCUAG